GUGAGGAAUAUUGGUCAAUGGGCGAGAGCCUGAACCAGCCAAGUAGCGUGAGGGAUGACUGCCCUAUGGGUUGUAAACCUCUUUUGCAGGGGAAUAAAGUGCAGGACGUGUCCUGUUUUGUAUGUACCCUGAGAAUAAGGAUCGGCUAACUCCGUGCCAGCAGCCGCGGUAAUACGGAGGAUCCGAGCGUUAUCCGGAUUUAUUGGGUUUAAAGGGUGCGUAGGUGGUUUGAUAAGUCAGCGGUGAAAGUUUGCAGCUUAACUGUAAAAAUGCCGUUGAAACUGUCUGACUUGAGUGUAAAUGAGGUAGGCGGAAUGCGUGGUGUAGCGGUGAAAUGCAUAGAUAUCACGCAGAACUCCGAUUGCGAGGGCAGCUUACUAAGCUACAACUGACACUGAAGCACGAAAGCGUGGGGAUCAAACAGGAUUAGAUACCCGUGUAGUCC
Molecule: ribosomal RNA, 445 nt
Filed under: uncultured bacterium
Lineage: Bacteria
Description: partial 16S ribosomal RNA
Rfam family: Bacterial small subunit ribosomal RNA
Source: RNAcentral